UUUGUUGUAGUCUAGUUGGUUAGGAUACUUGGCUCUCACUUUAAAAACCUGGGUUCAAAUCCAAGCAACGGAA
This 73-nucleotide transfer RNA is filed under the name Ipomoea nil (Japanese morning glory). It matches the Rfam family "tRNA". Rfam says of the family: Transfer RNA (tRNA) molecules are approximately 80 nucleotides in length. Their secondary structure includes four short double-helical elements and three loops (D, anti-codon, and T loops). Lineage: Eukaryota; Viridiplantae; Streptophyta; Magnoliopsida; Solanales; Convolvulaceae. The record is from Rfam by way of RNAcentral.